Molecule: ribosomal RNA, 529 nt
Filed under: uncultured Ralstonia sp.
Lineage: Bacteria; Pseudomonadati; Pseudomonadota; Betaproteobacteria; Burkholderiales; Burkholderiaceae
Description: bacterial SSU rRNA
Rfam family: Bacterial small subunit ribosomal RNA
Source: RNAcentral
GAGAGUUUGAUCCUGGCUCAGAUUGAACGCUGGCGGCAUGCCUUACACAUGCAAGUCGAACGGCAGCAUGAUCUAGCUUGCUAGAUUGAUGGCGAGUGGCGAACGGGUGAGUAAUACAUCGGAACGUGCCCUGUAGUGGGGGAUAACUAGUCGAAAGAUUAGCUAAUACCGCAUACGACCUGAGGGUGAAAGUGGGGGACCGCAAGGCCUCAUGCUAUAGGAGCGGCCGAUGUCUGAUUAGCUAGUUGGUGAGGUAAAGGCUCACCAAAGCGACGAUCAGUAGCUGGUCUGAGAGGACGAUCAGCCACACUGGGACUGAGACACGGCCCAGACUCCUACGGGAGGCAGCAGUGGGGAAUUUUGGACAAUGGGGGCAACCCUGAUCCAGCAAUGCCGCGUGUGUGAAGAAGGCCUUCGGGUUGUAAAGCACUUUUGUCCGGAAAGAAAUCGCACUUACUAAUAUUAGGUGCGGAUGACGGUACCGGAAGAAUAAGGACCGGCUAACUACGUGCCAGCAGCCGCGGUAAUA